AGAAGAAUCCAAAAAAAAAAAAAGGGGGGGUGGGGUACGAAUCUCUGUGCACACACAGACACCCACGUCCGGGAUAAUGGUAGUGACCAGUGUGAGACUACCACCAAAAUGGCCGUUUCUUCUCAGAUCCAAGAUCGGAGAAGGCAAUGGCACCCCACUCCAGUACUCUUGCCUGGAAAAUCCCAUGGACGGAGGAGCCUGGUGGGCUGCAGUCCAUAGGGUCACUGAGGGUCGGACACAACUGAGCGACUUCACUUUCACUUUACACUUUCAUGCACUGGAGAAGGAAAUGGCAACCCACUCCAGUGUUCUUGCUUGGAGAAUCCCAGGGACAGGGGAGCCUGGUGGGCUGCCGUCUGUGGGGUCGCACAGAGUCACAAGACUGAAAUGACUUAGCAGCAGCAGCAGCAGAUCCAAGAUGCAGAAGAGAAAUUCCCUGAGAAAAAGUAUGAAAGAUUUCAUGACUAUAUGGCUUCUGGCUUGUUACCCGCCUGAAAUUCAAAGCCAUCGUUUGUUUCUUGAGCCCAGCUGUGUGCCCAGUAUUGUGACAGAAACAGUGAGAAAGAGACAGAGAAACUGCCCUCCAGGCUUUCAAUACAUGAGCCAGACACAGGAGCUCCAACUUUUUCUUUAAUCAUCAAAAGUUCCCCUGACCAAAGAGUAGUAUAGGAAAAACAAGUCUUGUAUUAAGUAUUCUAACCAUUGAUGAAGACACCUUCCUUGACCCAAACUUAUUUUUUUAGUAAAGUUGUAUAUAUUUAAGGUAUAUAAC
Molecule: long non-coding RNA, 772 nt
Organism: Bos taurus (domestic cattle)
Lineage: Eukaryota; Metazoa; Chordata; Mammalia; Artiodactyla; Bovidae
Source: Ensembl